This 486-nucleotide ribosomal RNA is filed under the name uncultured bacterium. RNAcentral describes it as "partial 16S ribosomal RNA". It matches the Rfam family "Bacterial small subunit ribosomal RNA", at positions 30 to 507 of the family's 1533-position model. The record is from RNAcentral.
AUUGAACGCUGGCGGCAUGCCUUACACAUGCAAGUCGAACGGCAGCACGGGUGCUUGCCCCUGGUGGCGAGUGGCGAACGGGUGAGUAAUACAUCGGAACAUGUCCUGUAGUGGGGGAUAGCCCGGCGAAAGCCGGAUUAAUACCGCAUACGAUCUACGGAUGAAAGCGGGGGACCUUCGGGCCUCGCGCUAUCGGGUUGGCCGAUGGCUGAUUAGCUAGUUGGUGGGGUAAAGGCCUACCAAGGCGACGAUCAGUAGCUGGUCUGAGAGGACGACCAGCCACACUGGGACUGAGACACGGGCCAGACUCCUACGGGAGGCAGCAGUGGGGAAUUUUGGACAAUGGGCGAAAGCCUGAUCCAGCAAUGCCGCGUGUGUGAAGAAGGCCUUCGGGUUGUAAAGCACUUUUGUCCGGAAAGAAAUCCUUGGCCCUAAUACGGGCGGGGGAUGACGGUACCGGAAGAAUAAGCACCGGCUAACUACGUG